Mustela lutreola (European mink) is the source of this 2429-nucleotide long non-coding RNA. RefSeq lists it as uncharacterized. Lineage: Eukaryota; Metazoa; Chordata; Mammalia; Carnivora; Mustelidae. The record is from RefSeq and is a predicted model, not a curated record. The transcript is spliced from 3 exons.
GGAAGGUAGACGGUCACUUAGGCUGGUGGUGGUUUUCUGAGUCAUUCUGUCUCCCACGGCCAAGUGUCCUAGAGCUAUCGUCCUACAGCACGGAAUGUGAACUCCAUAGUUUAGUGAUCUGCAGACAAUACCCACAGAGAGAGACAGUGAGAGAGAGCAUGAGCGAGGAGAAGGUCAGAGGGAGAAGCAGACUCUCCAUUGAGCUGGGAGCCUGAUGUGGGACUCGUCCCGGAACUCCAGGAUCAUGACCUGAGCCGAAGGCAGUCGUCCAACCAACUGAGCCACCCAGGCGUCCCGAAGAUGGAAUGUCUUAAGUCUACUUUUUUCUUUUUUUAUUUUGCUUGACAGGUAUAUGUUAGUAAUAAAAAAAAAUGUCACAGUGUGGUGAUAUGCAUGCACUUGAAAUGGUGUCAAGUAAAAAUAUAUUUUGGUGAUUUGUAGUAUGUAGCAGCAGUCUGAAGUGAUAAGAAUGACACAUAUGGUGUCAAUUAUGAAUAUUCUGUUGUUCUGUAAAUGCAGCCAUAGACAGUAGGUAAAUAAGUACGACUGUAUUCCAAAACUAUUUUAUUUAUGGGCACUGAAAUUUGAGUUGCGUAUAAUUUUAUGUGUCAUAAAUUGUUACUAUUCUUUUGUUUUUUUUCCAGCCACAUAAAAUGUAAAAGCUGUAAUCAGCUGUAGACUGUACAAAAGCAGGAGGUAGGGUUCAGCUUAUAGGGCAUAGUUACCCAAGUGCCUGUGGAGAAUAGCUACAUAAAGUAGCCUUUUGAGUUUAUUUUACUUGAAGGGAUGAAAAGGAGUUUGUGAUUUUCUUCAUAACAUUCUCUGUUCUCUAGUUUUCUCUCCUCCUUUUUUUUUUUUUUUUUUAAUUUUGAGUAAGCUCCAUGCCCAGUGGAAUUUUAACUCACAACCCUGACAUUAAGAGUCACAUGCUCUACUGACUGAGCCAGCCAGGCACCCGUUGGGAGUUUAUAUUUUAGUUUAAAGAGAUUGUUAUUCAUAUUCUUUCUGUAUUAUAGACUUUUUAUUGUGGUUAAGUAUGAAAAUCCUAGUGAUUUCAAAAUUUUAAAAGUAUAAUUUCAGAAGAGAAAAAGCUGACAGAUAUAUAUCAGUAUGCUUUAUAUUUUUAUGCUUGAUAUUAUUCUUUCAAUUGGAAAACAAGAAAAAGUAAAAAAAUAUUUAAAGGGUAUGAGAUGGCCAAAAUUAAAUCACAGAGAAAUUUUCAAAGCAUUUUUUUUUAAAGAUUUUAUUUAUUUAUUUGACAAAGAGGGAGAUCACAAAUAGGCAGAGAGGCAAGCAGAGAGAGGGGGAAGCAGGCUCCCUGCUGAGCAGAGAACCCAAUUGUGGGGCUCGAUUCCAGGACCCUGAGAUCAUGACCUGAACUGAAGGCACAGGCUUAACCCACUGAACCACUUAGUUGCCCCUCAAAGCAUAUUUUUUGAAAUUUUGUAUAGUAUAUAAUCAUUUUUUUUUUAAGAUUUUAUUUAUUUAUUUGACAGGCAGAGAUCACAAGUAGACAGAGAGGCAGGCAGAGAGAGAGAGAGGAAGAAGCAGGCUCCCUGCCCAGCAGAGAGCCCGAUGUGGGGCUCGAUCCCAGGACCCUGGGAUCAUGACCUGAGCCGAAGGCAGCGGCUUAACCCACUGAGCCACCCAGGCGCCCCUCAUUUUUGUUUUAAAAAAAUAUGAGAGGCAAGGAUCUAGAUAUAUUCCCACCAAUAAGAGAUUGAAAAGAAACACACCAACAUGUUAACAGUGACUUCUCUCAGUAGGAGGGUUAUGGAAACUUUAUUUUUUGCUUGCCUGUUUUCUAACAUUUUUACAAUAACAUAUUUUUAAGAAUAAACAGAUACAUGCUACAUUAUUUCAAAAUAGUGUAUUUUUGAAGGGCAAAGAGGACAUCUCGAGAUAUUUAGACUCCUUUGGAUAUUAUUUUUUUUAAUUAAAUUUGUUACAUUCUGUGCAUAAGCAACUGUGUAGCAAAGCUAUUCUAAUCAUUACUGUAGAUGGAUCACUUAUACCAGCCACACUGUUAUAUGCCAUCUCUCAGAGGCACAUAAUUCACCUAAACUCUGAAUUUUCUUUCUCUUCAGAGAAGUCUAUUCCAAAUGGACAAAUUUUUCAUAUCUCUAUAUGAUGUCAACAGAGCCCCAAAUGAGGUGGACCAUCCUAUAUAAUUAUAGAAUAAAAACUUCAGUAUUGAGGAGCCUGGGUGACUCGUUCAGCUAAGCAUCCAACUCCUGAUCUCAACUCAGGUCUUGAUCUCAGUGUUGUGAAUUCAAGCCCCAUGUUGGGCUCUAUGCCUCCCCACCCCCCCAAAAAAGAUUUCAGUAUUUAAAAGCUACUUGGGGGGUGCCUGGGACCCUGAGAUCAUGACCUGAGCCGAAGGCAGUGGCUUAACCCACUGAGCCACCCAGGCACCCCCUUUUAUUACU